ACUUCAAGUAAAUAAUUUUUUCAUUGCUUUUUGUGUGAAUUUAAUAACUUUGAAGUCUCUAGCUUAAGAAACUCGGAAUAACACCUUUGAACGGUCGUUAAACGAAAACACGAAUCGCGUUUUGUCGUCUGCUUAUGUCAUAGUUUUCAUUACAGGGUGCAACACUUGCUUCUAAAAUGGGCAACGACAAUAUUUUGAUUGUUCAAGGAAAAAUGGAAAUAAAAAAUUUGAGUUACACGUUACCUUUCAAACGUCCGUUGGUGAUCUGUGUGCCGAAAUCGAACGAGAAACAGAAAUUCCUGUUCACUGCCAAAGAAUUAUAUAUAAUGGUCGAGCUCUAAACAACCAUGCCGAAGACAUGAAUAAACAUUUAGGCACCCUAG
Daphnia magna is the source of this 383-nucleotide long non-coding RNA. RefSeq lists it as uncharacterized. The record is from RefSeq and is a predicted model, not a curated record. Lineage: Eukaryota; Metazoa; Arthropoda; Branchiopoda; Diplostraca; Daphniidae. The transcript is spliced from 2 exons.